GACGAACGCUGGCGGCGUGCUUAACACAUGCAAGUCGAACGGAAAGGCCCUGCUUUUGUGGGGUGCUCGAGUGGCGAACGGGUGAGUAACACGUGAGUAACCUGCCCUUGACUUUGGGAUAACUUCAGGAAACUGGGGCUAAUACCGGUUAGGAGCUCCUGCUGCAUGGUGGGGGUUGGAAAGUUUCGGCGGUUGGGGAUGGUCUCGCGGCUUAUCAGCUUGUUGGUGGGGUAGUGGCUUACCAAGGCGUUGACGGGUAGCCGGCCUGAGAGGGUGACCGGCCACAUUGGGACUGAGAUACGGCCCAGACUCCUACGGGAGGCAGCAGUGGGGAAUAUUGCACAAUGGGCGGAAGCCUGAUGCAGCAACGCCGCGUGCGGGAUGACGGCCUUCGGGUUGUAAACCGCUUUCGCCUGUGACGAAGCGUGAGUGACGGUAAUGGGUAAAGAAGCACCGGCUAACUACGUG
Molecule: ribosomal RNA, 468 nt
Filed under: uncultured bacterium
Lineage: Bacteria
Description: partial 16S ribosomal RNA
Rfam family: Bacterial small subunit ribosomal RNA
Source: RNAcentral